This 460-nucleotide ribosomal RNA is filed under the name uncultured bacterium. RNAcentral's name for it is "partial 16S ribosomal RNA". It matches the Rfam family "Bacterial small subunit ribosomal RNA", at positions 338 to 795 of the family's 1533-position model. The record is from RNAcentral.
CCUACGGGAGGCUGCAGUGAGGAAUAUUGGUCAAUGGACGAGAGUCUGAACCAGCCAAGUAGCGUGAAGGAUGACUGCCCUAUGGGUUGUAAACUUCUUUUAUAUGGGAAUAAAAUGUUCCACGUGUGGGAUUUUGUAUGUACCAUAUGAAUAAGGAUCGGCUAACUCCGUGCCAGCAGCCGCGGUAAUACGGAGGAUCCGAGCGUUAUCCGGAUUUAUUGGGUUUAAAGGGAGCGUAGGUGGAUUGUUAAGUCAGUUGUGAAAGUUUGCGGCUCAACCGUAAAAUUGCAGUUGAAACUGGCAGUCUUGAGUAGAGUAGAGGUGGGCGGAAUUCGUGGUGGAGCGGUGAAAUGCUUAGAUAUCACGAAGAACUCCGAUUGCGAAGGCAGUUCACUGGACUGCAACUGACACUGAGGCUCGAAAGUGUGGGUAUCAAACAGGAUUAGAUACCCCUGUAGUC